UGACAGAGGGUUGAGGACACACAAAAUCCUUGAGAGGAACUGUGACUUAGCACAUUCUUCACAUCACACAGGAUGAGAUUAUUCAUAGUUGGCCUCUCCCUCUAUCUCUGUAUACACUUCUCUCAAUGAAGAAAAGCACACAAUAUUUGCUUCAGUUUUUCUCUGGGUUUAAACUGAACAGGAAUAUUAAUUUUGUAUAACUGAUUUUCUUCACACAGCAGAAUCAAGUCAAGAACAAUAUUAAGGGCCUGUUCUUCUGAAAGCCCAGCUGAUAGGCUUUGAAAUGUGUGAGUUGCAGUUUCUUAUACUGCUAUGGUUCUAUAAGGAGUCUGUACAGCUGAAAACAUCUCACUUCACAACUCGCUUUUGGUUCUCCUCCCUGGACAUUACACCCAGUAAAUGGAACUCACACGUGCCCAUUUGCCCAACAACACUUACCACUUUGGCCACAAAUUUCGUGCGCUCCAAGUCCUCAUGGUGGCGUAGUGACUCGCCUCAAUCCAGGUGGCGGAGGAUGAAUCUCAGUUGCCUCCGCGUCCGAGACCAUUAAUCUGCGCAUCUUAUCACGGGGCUUGUUUAGCGCAUUACCACAGAGACAUAGCGUGUGUGGAGGCUUCACCCUAUUCUCUGCGGCAUCCACGCCCAACACACCAUGCGCCCCACCGAGAGCGAGAACUACAUUAUAGUGACCACGAGGAGGUUACCCCAUGUGACUCUACCCUCCCCAGCAACCGGGCCAAUUUGGUGGCUUAGGAGACCUGGCUGGAAUCACUCAGCAUGCCCUGGAUUCUCCAGGGGUGGUAGUUAGCGUCUUUACCUGCUGAGCUACCCAGGCCCCUUUUUCAGGCCUUAUUUUGUUAUUUUAUGUAACAUAAAUGUAGAAUUGAUGGUCAUCUCUGAAAAGUUCAGAUUCUAAGCUUUCAAAUUAUAUGAUAUGCCUGACUUUUGUAUUCGAAGACUUAAACAUUUUAAAUGUAAAACUUUUUUUGCAAGAUAGCGCCCCCUUUUGCCGGCGGGUCUGCAGAGUUAAGGGCUUGAAAUGGCAAGAUUAUUUUUCCACAUGACAAGAUUUGGUUGAAGGCUCUAUGUGGCUGCAUCCAAAUGCUAAAUAUCUCCAAAUUUUAAAAACAACUAUAAAUAUUCAUUAAAAUAUCUAUAAGACUGUGAAGUAUACACAAUGAGCAUGCUUACAUGCACGAUCUUACAACAUUUAUGGUUUAUAAGCUGACAAUGUGUUAGGUUAUUUAAACGCCUUAAACUCUUUAUGUCUUUAUUUCAAUAAAGGAAAGCUGUUUAAGCAAAAAACAAUCAACACGGUUUUCUUGCGUUGUCAGAUUUUUUGAAUAAGCGGAUUAUGGAUAGUUCUCAGCAUAAUGGUGUUCAAGUAAUCACACUUAAAAGUUAUAGAUAAGUAUAUUGGGAGGUCUUUAAAAAAAAAAAGAAGACAAAAAAUGGUUAGGUUUUAAUCCCCCCAAACUCGACUUCCUGGCAAAGACAGUCCAGUGUUCACCAGAAAAACUAUUAUUAAUGCUGCGUGUCAUGUCUGGGCAGCUAGACAAAUGCACACAAACAGACUGAGACACAGAUGCAUGUCCCAUAAAGGAUAUCCUGGGCUAAUGACUCACAGUAUGCACACCGGACCUAUUCCAGCCUAUCCGGAUCCAGACAUGACCCCAGCACAUACUCCCAAUAGAAGAUGACACCAGCAGCUUAGCAUUAUGGGAGACCUUUACUAGUUAUGAAAGCCUGUGAUCCAAGUGUACAAGGAGUCCCCAAAGAGAUGCCAACAGAGGAACAAGAAAUGCUUCUGUGGUAAGUGUGUUGCUUUAGAUAGAGUCUGUCAGGUGCAUGAGGAAUACGUGGCAUGAAAAGAUGCUCAGUGUCACAAAGAGAUCAAGAGCCCAUAAAUGCUCAUAAAUGACUUCAGGACAGACAGAGAGAGAUAGAUAGAGAUGAAAAAGAGAUGGGCAGCUAAAAUAGGAGUCGCAGCAUCAUGGAAAAAUUUACUAGGGUUUUGCAAAACUAGGUAACCCAGAGUAUACAGUAUGUACUUACUGGCAUAUGUAACACAGUGUCUCUACACAAAACACUUUAUAAAUAGGCUCCAAUAGGAUGCCUGGGCCCUGCUAAACCACCCUUGUCCCAAUGGACCAAACAUUGGCAGCCAUGCCCAAAAGAAGUGAUGGAAGGGUCCAAAAAGUAUUGAGCAAAUUUCAAACAUUUUAGUCACUCAACAAAUGAAAAGUCUGUAAUCAUUUACUUUCAUGUUGCUCCAACCCCUUAUGACUUUCAUCUGCAGAACACAAAAGGAAAGGCUAGACAGAAUGUUAGGAACUGACAGCACAAGUCUCCAUUUACUUUCAUUAUAUGGAAAAACAAAGCAAUGAAAGUAAAAAGGUGACAGACUAACAUUCUGCCCAACACCUCCUUUUGUGUUCCACUGAUGAAAGUAAAUUAUGUUAGAAUUUUUAUUCUUGCAUGAUCCGUCCCUUUAAACCCCAGCUACAGGAAUGAUGAAACAUCCUAAAGACAGUAUACAUACAGUAUAUUAGCCUUGAAUAUAGACAGGACAAAUAUAGCAUUUGGAGUAGAUGUCAACGGAAUGCAUACAGGCCCUAGAUUAUCACACAAAACCUUGUCUAACAGAGCGUUUUAUCUUGCAUUGUGCACAGAGAGCUGUACGGAGAUUCAACAAUCCUGAACACGAGCAGCCAACAUGCAGGAAUCAGAGACAGGCUUAAAGAUUUUGGCUCUGGCAUGGAGACAAGAGGCUUUGAAGCAGAUCAGCUACAGUUUCGUUCGAUCCAAAAAGUCUCUGUGCAUCUUCUGUGAGCAAGGGAGUGUUAAAUAUAAGCUGCAGAUGGCAGAAGAAAUAUGUAACGCAUUGUGGGUUAACAGUAUGGAGUAUGUCAUCAAAUAGAAAAAUACUGGUUCUGUGCUGGUACAAACGUGGUACACUUGAAGGUUUGAUAUACCACUUAAAGUCAUUACAUAAGAAGUUUAUUUGACUAUAAAAACUACAACCUGUGGGUCAUCUGUGUAUAAUAGUUUCAUAAAUUGUGUUGUGUAAAUCUGAUGUUAUUGUAAAUUGGUAUAUGUCUCAUCACUGUCAUGACUGCUAUGUUGUUUGGAACUGCACCCAAGACUUUCCCCCACUGUUGCACUUGUGUAUAUG
Molecule: long non-coding RNA, 3175 nt
Organism: Myxocyprinus asiaticus (Chinese sucker)
Lineage: Eukaryota; Metazoa; Chordata; Actinopteri; Cypriniformes; Catostomidae
Exons: 4
Source: RefSeq, a predicted model, not a curated record